GGAAGGGUGGCCGAGUGGUUGAAGGCAGCGGUCUUGAAAACCGCCAGGGCCCCAAAGGUCCUCGUGAGUUCGAAUCUCACCCCUUCCG
This 88-nucleotide transfer RNA is filed under the name Candidatus Uhrbacteria bacterium. RNAcentral describes it as "tRNA-Ser". It matches the Rfam family "tRNA". Rfam says of the family: Transfer RNA (tRNA) molecules are approximately 80 nucleotides in length. The record is from RNAcentral. Lineage: Bacteria; Candidatus Uhriibacteriota.